GAUCAUGGCUCAGGAUGAACGCUAGCUACAGGCUUAACACAUGCAAGUCGAGGGGCAGCAUUUUUUAUAGCAAUAUAAAAGAUGGCGACCGGCGCACGGGUGAGUAACACGUAUCCAACCUGCCGAUAACUCGGGGAUAACCCUUCGAAAGAAGGCCUAAUACCCGAUGGCAUAUCCCUUCCGCCUGGUUGGGAUAUUAAAGAACUUCGGUUAUCGAUGGGGAUGCGUUCCAUUAGCUUGUUGGCGGGGUAACGG
RNAcentral lists this ribosomal RNA (255 nucleotides) under uncultured bacterium. RNAcentral's name for it is "partial 16S ribosomal RNA". It matches the Rfam family "Bacterial small subunit ribosomal RNA", at positions 15 to 263 of the family's 1533-position model. The record is from RNAcentral.